This 70-nucleotide non-coding RNA is filed under the name Sus scrofa (pig). Lineage: Eukaryota; Metazoa; Chordata; Mammalia; Artiodactyla; Suidae. The record is from RNAcentral.
UAAAAACACCACUUUUGGGUGAAGCGGCAGCAAGUUGUGCUGUUUUGCUUCAAUCGGUGGUGUGACAAAC